GAGUUUGAUCCUGGCUCAGGAUGAACGCUAGCUACAGGCUUAACACAUGCAAGUCGAGGGGCAUCAGUUUGGUUUGCUUGCAAACCAAAGCUGGCGACCGGCGCACGGGUGAGUAACACGUAUCCAACCUGCCUCAUACUCGGGGAUAGCCUUUCGAAAGAAAGAUUAAUAUCCGAUAGCAUAUAUUUCCCGCAUGGGUUUUAUAUUAAAGAAAUUCGGUAUGAGAUGGGGAUGCGUUCCAUUAGUUUGUUGGGGGGGUAACGGCCCACCAAGACUACGAUGGAUAGGGGUUCUGAGAGGAAGGUCCCCCACAUUGGAACUGAGACACGGUCCAAACUCCUACGGGAGGCAGCAGUGAGGAAUAUUGGUCAAUGGACGCGAGUCUGAACCAGCCAAGUAGCGUGAAGGAUGACUGCCCUAUGGGUUGUAAACUUCUUUUAUAAAGGAAUAAAGUCGGGUAUGCAUACCCGUUUGCAUGUACUUUAUGAAUAAGGAUCGGCUAACUCCGUGCCAGCAGCCGCGGUAAUACGGAGGAUCCGAGCGUUAUCCGGAUUUAUUGGGUUUAAAGGGAGCGUAGGCGGAUGCUUAAGUCAGUUGUGAAAGUUUGCGGCUCAACCGUAAAAUUGCAGUUGAAACUGGGUGUCUUGAGUGCAGUAGAGGUAGGCGGAAUUCGUGGUGUAGCGGUGAAAUGCUUAGAUAUCACGAAGAACUCCGAUUGCGAAGGCAGCUUGCUGGACUGUAACUGACGCUGAUGCUCGAAAGUGUGGGUAUCAAACAGGAUUAGAUACCCUGGUAGUCCACACAGUAAACGAUGAAUACUCGCUGUUUGCGAUAUACAGUAAGCGGCCGAGCGAAAGCAUUAAGUAUUCCACCUGGGGAGUACGCCGGCAACGGUGAAACUCAAAGGAAUUGACGGGGGCCCGCACAAGCGGAGGAACAUGUGGUUUAAUUCGAAGCAACGCGAAGAACCUUACCAAAUCUUGACAUCCCUCUGACCGGUCUUUAAUCGGACCUUCUCUUCGGAGCAGAGGUGACAGGUGGUGCAUGGUUGUCGUCAGCUCGUGUCGUGAGAUGUUGGGUUAAGUCCCGCAACGAGCGCAACCCCUAUCCUCAGUAGCCAGCAUUUAAGGUGGGCACUCUGGGGAGACUGCCAGGGAUAACCUGGAGGAAGGCGGGGAUGACGUCAAAUCAUCAUGCCCCUUAUGAUUUGGGCUACACACGUGCUACAAUGGCGUAAACAAAGGGAAGCGAGAUUGUGAGAUGGAGCAAAUCCCAAAAAUAACGUCCCAGUUCGGACUGUAGUCUGCAACCCGACUACACGAAGCUGGAAUCGCUAGUAAUCGCGGAUCAGAAUGCCGCGGUGAAUACGUUCCCGGGUCUUGCACUCACCGCCCGUCAAG
This 1400-nucleotide ribosomal RNA is filed under the name uncultured bacterium. Its description in RNAcentral is "partial 16S ribosomal RNA". It matches the Rfam family "Bacterial small subunit ribosomal RNA". The record is from RNAcentral.